This 455-nucleotide ribosomal RNA is filed under the name uncultured bacterium. RNAcentral's name for it is "SSU rRNA". It matches the Rfam family "Bacterial small subunit ribosomal RNA", at positions 26 to 518 of the family's 1533-position model. The record is from RNAcentral.
AGAGCGAACGCUGGCGGCAGGCCUAAUACAUGCAAGUCGAACGCACCUUCGGGUGAGUGGCGGACGGGUGAGUAACACGUGGGAACGUGCCUUUGGUUCGGAAUAAUCCGGGGAAACCUGGCCUAAUACCGAAUGUGCCCCCUCUUUAACCAGGGGGUGGAAAGAUUUAUUGCCAUUAGAGUGGCCCGCGUCUGAUUAGCUAGUUGGUGAGGUAAUGGCCCACCAAGGCUACGAUCAGUAGCUGGUCUGAGAGGAUGAUCAGCCACACUGGGACUGAGACACGGCCCAGACUCCUACGGGAGGCAGCAGUAGGGAAUCUUGGACAAUGGGGGAAACCCUGAUCCAGCCAUGCCGCGUGAGUGAUGAAGGCCUUCGGGUUGUAAAACUCUUUCGACGGGGACGAUAAUGACGGUACCCGUAGAAGAAGCUCCGGCUAACUUCGUGCCAGCAGCCGC